UCCAAGGAAAGCUUACUCUGGGAUGC
RNAcentral lists this non-coding RNA (26 nucleotides) under Homo sapiens (human). The record is from RNAcentral. Lineage: Eukaryota; Metazoa; Chordata; Mammalia; Primates; Hominidae.